CUCUCGGCUUUACGUGACAUUCUCUAACUAACCCCGUCAGAUCCGGAAGGAAGCAGCGGUCCGUUCUGAGAAUGGGCCGUGAAUUACCGGGAGGUU
Molecule: signal recognition particle RNA, 96 nt
Filed under: Candidatus Adiutrix intracellularis
Lineage: Bacteria; Pseudomonadati; Thermodesulfobacteriota; Desulfarculia; Candidatus Adiutricales; Candidatus Adiutricaceae
Description: signal recognition particle sRNA small type
Rfam family: Bacterial small signal recognition particle RNA
About the family: The signal recognition particle (SRP) is a universally conserved ribonucleoprotein involved in the co-translational targeting of proteins to membranes. Archaeal SRP consists of a 7S RNA and homologues of the eukaryotic SRP19 and SRP54 proteins.
Source: RNAcentral